Molecule: transfer RNA, 73 nt
Filed under: Marmota monax (woodchuck)
Lineage: Eukaryota; Metazoa; Chordata; Mammalia; Rodentia; Sciuridae
Description: tRNA.Val
Source: RNAcentral
UGGGGUUUUGGAUCAGUGGUAGAGCAUUUGUCUCACAUGCAUGAGGCACUGAGUUUGAUCCUCAGCACCACAU